AACGUAGGACGCAAGCGUUAUCCGGAAUUACUGGGCGUAAAGCGCGUGCAGGUGGGUGACUAAGUCCCCUGUGAAAGCCCCUGGCUAAACCGGGGGAGGUCAGGAGAUACUGGUCGUCUUGAGGAUGUCAGAGGGAAGCGGAAUUCCGGGUGUAGUGGUGAAAUGCGUAGAGAUCCGGAGGAACACCAGAGGCGAAGGCGGCUUCCUGGGACAUACCUGACACUGAGACGCGAAAGCAUGGGGAGCGAACGGG
Molecule: ribosomal RNA, 253 nt
Filed under: uncultured bacterium
Lineage: Bacteria
Description: partial 16S ribosomal RNA
Rfam family: Bacterial small subunit ribosomal RNA
Source: RNAcentral